Molecule: unclassified non-coding RNA, 501 nt
Filed under: Pectinophora gossypiella (pink bollworm)
Lineage: Eukaryota; Metazoa; Arthropoda; Insecta; Lepidoptera; Gelechiidae
Description: uncharacterized LOC126370894
Source: RNAcentral
UAUAACAAAUGUCUCAUCCGCAACUACUGCUGUUUCUGCUUCACUGCAUGUUGGUGGAAGUUUGGACUAUUAGCCAACCCGUUAUUGCCAGAGUUUUAUUUUAUUAUUUGAAAAUUUGUGAGGACCGGACUGAAGAACAGCCCGCAAGAUCACUGCGAUCUAGUCAGAUCUAUUGUGACCUAAAUCCCUACGUUUAAGUAGACACUUUCACAGUGUGAAGAACACGAAGAUGAGGAAGUGGCUCCCGAUACUUUGGAGGAGGCAGGGGCGCUGGAAGCCGAUGUGGGGGCUAGAUUGUCCAACUCAUUCUGGCAUGGUCUCCGAUUUUCAAACGACGAAAUACUAAAGACUGUCGGAGGCUGCCUCGAAGGUAGUCUUCUGAAACGAUUGUUGUAUUACACUGCAGCUUCGAAAGACUAACAUUAUCCAUCGGAACAUCUUGUACUUAUUUUUUCUGUUACCUGUAUUUAAAAGUACCUAAUAUAAGAAUUUUAUCUCGUU